CUGGGAGAUGAGCCCUAGAAAGAUUUGAGGAGGUUGCUGAGGAGCUGCUUUGGUUUUUCCUUGUGUCCAGUUCCUCCUUGCUUCCAGUAACCUGCUUUAGCCUACUCCGUCUCCUCUGCUGAGUCCCUGCACCAUCCUCUGACAGGUUCAGAGUAUGAGGAUUCAACCAACUGAGGAUCAAAAAAUAUGACAAAUUCCAGAAAGUUCCAAAACAUUACAUGUAUAGACUUUUUCUUAUUAGUCUCUAAGUAAACAUUGUAACAGCUAUCUGGAUAACACAUUGUAUUAGGGCUUAUGAAUCAUCUAGAGAUGAUUUUGCAUACGGGAGGAUGUGUGUAGGUUCUAUGCAAAUGCUAUGCCAUUUUUUAAAAAAGGAUUUAGGCAACUGGAGAGUUUGGUUUCCUCCAUCAUCCUGGAACCAGUACCCUAAGGAAACUUAGGGAUGGCUAUAUUAAAACAGCACAGGGGCUUCAUGGUUUGCUUAUCACUAUCAUAACACAUAAUGAGGAAGAAUGAAAGAAAUGAUGAGGUAGAACAACAACACCCAGAGAUUUUCACCUAAAAGCUGAAAAAAAUAUUAGGCAUCUCAAGCCUGAGAACAGUGGAAAGCACAUCUGUGGCUCUGGACCAGCCAGCAUUAGGAAGAUGGCUCUGCAAACAGCUGGAAAGAGCUGGAAUUGGUCUGACACGCGGCUGCAGGGAGAGCCAGGGAUGGGAGCCCAAGCUCACGUGCAGCCCAAGCAGUCACGUCUGAAGAAAGCAACUCUGAUGGAAACGCGAUCACCAGGGCUUACAGGAGGCCUCUCUACUCUGUCGCUUCUUGUUGCCAGGAGUUGCAAAAUGCUUAAUGUCUCUGAGGAGUGGAACAGCUGCACAAUGAAUGCUGUGUACCCAUUUCCUAUGUCUGUCCUUCUGUCCAGGGUUCCAUCCAGGACACUACUCCACGUGUCACUAUGUCUCUCUGAGUUCCUCUCAUCUGGGCCAGUUUCUCAGUCUUGUGUUGCUUUUCAGUCCUAAAGAGCCUGGGCCUAGGACCCUGGAGAAUGGCAGCAGUCUUGGUUUGUCUGGCAUUUUUCUCACGAGUAGUCUGGGACCAGGUUUUGGAUUAGAUGAGUGUCCUUGUUACAG
This 1128-nucleotide long non-coding RNA is filed under the name Heterocephalus glaber (naked mole-rat). RNAcentral's name for it is "lncRNA (ENSHGLG00100036169.1)". The record is from RNAcentral. Lineage: Eukaryota; Metazoa; Chordata; Mammalia; Rodentia; Bathyergidae.